GUCUGUUUGUGAUGUUGUGCAUCAGUGUGCACUUUUAUACACGCACGUUUACAUUAUAUCACAACAUGAACGUCCGUCAAAGAAAGAGCAAAUUUACCGUUUCCGGACUUUGAUGGCUGACCGCAGCCAUGACGACUGUGUGUGGGUGUGUGUGUGUAUAUAUACAAAUAUAUAUACACACACCUUAACACAAAAAAAUAUAGCAAGUGAGACAGACAGAAUGCGAGAGAGACAAUUUGAGAGGAAGCGAGACAACUGAGAGAAAGGCGGUUACAAGGAAGGAGGGAGGGACAGCAUGGAAUGCUGUGAUGUCAUCAGCCAGUCAUACACACAAAGACAAGGAGGCUCUCUUGACUCUCAGCUUACUUAGCAUACUCUGUUGUGGAGCAGCUGUCUACAUCCUACUAUACUCCAAUGAUGACAGGAAAUUGACGUCUCGGUGUGUGGGAGAAACUGUCCACUAAGAAAAGUGAUUUUAUCCUGUCCUCUUCAAAUGUGUGAGGAUGAUCACUUGUCGCGAUUUGUGAAGUUCCUCCAGAGAAGAAUCCUUCAGGAUUUUGGCACAUCAAAAUGUUUUGAAAGCAUGAAACUAUAAAAGCACAACUGUUCACCUCUGGACGGAGAAACUCCCUCCCUGCACCACCUCAACCAGGUGGAACCCCCGACUGACCCGCUUUCUAAUCUGCCAAAUCUGCCACCACAAUGCUGCAACAGAUCCUAAAGGACAUGUACAUCGACCCCGAUGUGCUGGAGGCUCUUAACGAGGACCAGAAAAAGACACUGUUCCUGAAGAUGCGCCAAGAGCAGGUGCGGCGCUGGAUGGAGCGUGAGGAGAAACUGGAGCGAGAAGGCGAGAGGAAAGAAACAAAAAAAGCCAACAGCAAGAAUGUGAGCUGGCUGCUGGGUCGCGAUGGCGAUGUGGCCGUCAUUGUUAUCGGGGAAAUGGACGAGUUGACUUCCAAAUGCAUCAUCUCAGGAUUGGGAGAAAAAAAGGCACCCUGUCCACAGAACAAUUCAUUCAAUCAAACCAUUUUGAAAAGCAGAAUAAAUGCAGAAGUCAUGACUGACAGAGAAAACCUUCCUUCUCAGACACAACCUGGAAUAUCCUUGAAUUUGAAGGCCAAAUGUGAAGAGGCAAGCACUUUACACCCCCUGGCGGUGUCAGUGAGUGAGCAUUCAUCAGCAUCUGCAACUGCACACGAGGAAGAGAAGUCACUAAACGUGACCAAUGAAAAGCCCGUCUCCCAGCCCAGGCUUCCCAGGAGAACCAACGCUUUCAUCAUGAAGCCUGCCAAUGCGAGCGUGGCGCCGGGACCCGUCAACGCAAGACCCGCCGUCGCAAAUCUGAGGCAGGCCAGUGUGGCGUCAUCUCCUCCCCUCAGCGCCACGGCCAAAAUGGACAGCGGAACGGCGGCGGCUUUUAAAGUGGACUUGGAGUCACAGGGCUUUGAAAAGAUUGAGGAGUCACAGAAAGCCAAAGGAGUGAUCCUUCCUGGAACAUCAUCUGACGAAGGCCACAAGACAAAACACUUUGGUCUCGCACUGUGCUGUCGAGACUGUUGCUUUUUUUUAAUUUUUUGUAUUUUUUUGAGGGGGGGAGCCUCGAACAUUCUCAUUCUAAAAACUAUUGUGUAUUAUAAUAGUUUGACAAAAUGUCAAUAAUGAAGAUGUGAAGCCUAUUUCAAGGAGACAUUAUGCAUUUUUGUCAAAAUGUAUAAAACGGUUAACAAGUCUGUAAUAUGCUUUCGUCAAAAUAUCACAAGGAUCUGUAUUAUAGUUAUAUAUUUUCUCUUGCUAAAAUCAUUGUUUUUAGAGGCUGCCAAUACGAUUGGGUGCUGCAUGCAGUCCUGCCUGAAUACAGCAACUAAUAAUUGUAGCGGGCUGUGUCCUGCAGCGGGGUCGGCUUUCCUCUCUUCUCUCCUCACCUUCAGAGGGAAGGACGCACAUUCCUGCGCCGCUUCCCGACUCUAGCCCUGGGCGACGCUCAGCCCCGUGCUGAUAAGUGACAGGGGCCCCAGUGGCGUGCACACACACAAGCACACACACACACACCCUGCCCUUCUGUCCACAGACGUGCUGCUCGGGAAUUCUGCCCUCUGCUCCACUUCUGCCUCCCCCACCUCCUUCCUCUCUCGCUCUCCUGCUCGCACUCUUGACGAGGGGUCUUCAAAGAGAUAGAUUGGUCUUUAAUUUCAGCGCCAGACUGGUCAGUGGCGUUAUCGCCCAACACCUCCCGCACACCCACCCUCACCCACUCACCGUCAUCCCUUCCCCUACUAUGCACAAGGGAGUGAGAGAUCUAAAUUGGAGAUUUAUUAAUCAAUCCAGGAUGAUUAAACACCGAUAUUUUGGUCCACUUGAUGGUUGUUUAUUUGCCGAGCAGUGUCUUUUUUUCUCAUUUGUUAUAGUCAGAUGACUACAUUCAAGAAUAGUGUAUACUGGGUGGGUGUUUUUUAUUUUGUUACCUUAGUUGACACUUAAAAAAAAACACACUCCCUCUUUCUGUCUGCCUCUGUGUUUAUUAAGUAUUCCACUCAGGCCUUCACCAAGGCUCCGAGCACAAAAAACACACUCUGACCGCCACUCAGUGUGUGUGUGUGUGUGUGUGUGUGUGUGUAUCCGCAUGUGCGUCCGCCUUGCGCGCUCGGUGCGUGCCUGAAUGUGUGUCAGCCUCAAUUGCUGGAGCCUGCCCAAGGUUUCCGUGGUGACUGCACAACACAACGAGACAAUCAGGGGCAGGCCCACGCAGCGCUGAGAGAGGACAUUAACACAGGAACCGGGGGUGGGGUCAGAGGUCAGAGGAAGGCAGGCAGAAAGACGCUAAGCAACAAAGGUGAAGUCUAAACAGCAAUAAACAAUAACACAACCUACUUUCAUGUGUUCAUUUUUCAAAGAAAAGGCCUGAGGAUUGCCUGCCAUGUGUGCGUGCGUGUGAUGUGGAAAUUGGUCGCACGCCCGAGCGAAUUGGUGAGCAGGAGGGCCGCGUGAGGCUCGGCUUGGCGUUGUUGUUGUGUGGCGUGAGAAUGUGUCUCUUCAAAUCCCCACCGACAGAGACGCAUGCUUGUCGCUCUAUUUUGUGUGCGUGAAGACUGCUUAUGUAGCACACACACACGCACACAGUCUCGCUCACAUUUCUGCGUCCCCCGGGGAUGACGCUAAAAAUAUGUGGCUCCUCAAGCCUUCUGGUGUCUGAGCAGCGUCUGUCUGCUCUCCAUUGCCUCCCUCCUCCCCUCUCUUGCGCCUGUUCCCUCCAUUCCUCCCUCAAUUACACCCUCUACCUCACCGAGCGCGCGCGCACACACACACACAGACACACACGCAUGCACAAACUACGGCCAGCUGUGUCCCCGCUGCACUUCCAUGGAGGAUGACCUCUGCUCAGCCAGGGUGGGAUAAAGGGAGGCGGAAAGGAAAAAAGAAAACAAAAAAACAAGAGUGGAGUGAAGAAAGAUGCAUUUGGAAAGAGGAAGUGAUCGAGGUGCUGAAAGAAUUCUAGCUUUAAUAACAAUCUUUUACAGUUUGCAUUUUCGUCUGCUUUUCCUGAAACAUAUUUUUAAGUUAUGUUCACCUUUAUUGGCACCAUCAUACUCCCUAAGGUGUUCUGUGCUGGAGAAAUUGUGGGAAAAUAGUGUGAGCAUCCCUCCAAGGAAUUAAAAAAAAUAAAAAUAGUGCAUGUGAUACAUAGUCAGUAGGUUUGUGGUUGUAUAGUGUAUAUUGUAAAACUACUGGUAUACUAUAAGUAUUUUUGCAAUAAAUGCUCCUAUGCUGUGCAUUGCUUUGUAUUAAUAAAUAUCUAAAGUUACAAAAGAAACAGCUGGAAUUUUUUCAGAAAUAGUCUAAUAAAUAACAGUAAUAACGAGAUCACAGCAUAGAAGAGGCCAGCAGAGCAAUCUGACUGGACUCCGGGAAGCCAUGACAAAAGUCCCAUCACAGUUCUUGCUCACUGAUUCAAUCACAAUAUAUCACAAAACAAAGUUUGUAUUUAACGAUUCAAAGUAGUUGUAUUGAUUAUCUUUUUUUAAAAUUAUUUUAUGCUUGAAGGGCCCUAUAUUUAAUAUUGUAAUGUACUAAUGUUACUGCCAUUGCCAUUACAGUCAGCAAAAUGUUUAAUAAUCAUUAGUACACAUGGCUUUGUUAACCAAUAAAUGCGCAAUAACAAUAAUUAUAUUCAUAGAUUUUAUUUUCUGCGCCUUUCAUGUCACUCAAGGUCACGUCACAGGAUUUAAAACGUAUAAUUUUUCUCAGUAUGAAAAAGAGAAAAGAAAAAGGAAAAAAAUACUAAAUGAAUAAAAAUAAUCUGAAUAAGUGUAAAACCUAAGAACCUCAAUACAAAAAUGCAUGCUGAAGAAGCUAAGCUAAUAAAUUAGCUAACAUUCUCUAUUGAGAAAUAAACCUAAUUUAAUUUGAAAAACCUUGUAGCAUUAGCUCCAGCGCUGGUGCUAACACAGCAUGUGAGAUACACUGGCUGGUCCACUAGUAUUAGAGACCAAGAUCCUGUCUUGGAGUCACAAAGACAGACACUAUUCUUAUUAAAAGCCAGUGUGUCAUAUAAUUACUUUGCGCUAUUAUUAUAAUAUAGGCGGCAACAUUUAUCUUCUGGCAAUACAAUGGCAUCAUUGCUUUUCUGUCUGUGAUUGCGCUGAUGUUUCUGAUGUAAACGUCAGCUGUUUUGGAUCGUGGAAAGGUACUGGGAAGUGUCGCGACUGACGUAAUAAUAGCUCCACAUGUUCAGCAGUGAUUCCCAUCAGGAGUGCUAUUUAUUUUCAUUAAAUUGAUCUGGAUUUAUUGUUACUAAAUGAAAUGUGGUUAACAGAAAGUAGCUGUAAUAACAUUUUAAAUAAAGCAACACCAGCAAAUUUGUAUUUUAUGAACAAAUGUUGAAUAGGCAAAAAAGGCGGUGGUAUUGCUGUUAUUUUUAAGCCAUUAUUUGUUUUUUUGUGUAAAUAAAUUAUACUGGGUGUUUUGAAAUCUCAGUUUUUUAGUUAAAGGUGACCCAAAGGUUAUUGUUUUAAUAAUUUAUAGACCUCCAAGAUACAAUAGAAAAUUUAUGGAGGACUUUUCAGAAUUGCUGUCAGUUAUUUGUACUGACUACAACUAUUUUGACUUCUCUCAACAUAUUAAGAGUCCAACCCACACUCAAGGUCACAUCUUCGACCUGGUCAUCGCAAAGGAUGUUGAAAUUCUAUCAAUUGACAUUAAGGAUAUGGCUAGUUCUGACCAUUUUUGUGCAUUCUUUGAAUUACAGAUUCUUCCAAAAGUUCAGACAACCUCUAUGUCUUUUAAGAAAAGGUACAUAAAUGUGCGUACCGCCACUAAAUUUAUGGAGACCAUUGCUGUGCUGCGACAGUUGAUGAACUUUUGGAUAAUUUCACCUGUAAAAUCUCAAAUGUCAUGAAUUCUGUCGCUCCUAUCAAAACUAAGACAAUCUUGAGGCGACCUAGAACACCGUGGAGGAGCACAAUGAUGGUAAAGACCUCUAUAUCAAAGUGUGGGAAAGCAGAACGUAAGUGGAGAAAAACUAUACUCCAAAUUGACUAUGACCUCUACAGACAAAGUCUUUGCAAUUAUAACCAAGAGUUAGUCAGGGCUAGACAGCAACACUUUUCUGAAAUCAUCACUAAGAACUUCAACAAUACUCGCACUCUGUUUGCUGUGGUUGACAAGCUCACAACCCCCCUGAAUCAGAUAGCUCCAGAACUCCUAACAGCAGGUAAAUGCAAUGAAUUGGCUUAUUUUAGUGAAAAAAUACAAUCCAUCAGGUUAAAUAUUCGCACAAAUCAGCAAAAUGAUAAAAUGAUACUACAUCUGAAGCAACCCAGGAAAAACUUUAUUACCAUGUCAGAAUUUGAUACAGUUGACCAAAAAAACUGUAGAGAAAUCGGUUCAGCAGCUGAAAUCAUCAAUGAGUUGUCUUGACUCAAUACCAUCUGACUUUUUCAAAGCUAUUGCGAACUCUAUGCUAGCUGAUUUGCAGCAAAUAAUCAAUUGCUCACUUCAGUCAGGUAAGUUUCCUAAAGCUCUUAAAGUAGCGGCCAUUAAGCCUCUGCUAAAAAAAUAGAACGCUGGAUGCUUCCACGUUAGCGAGCUGUAGACCCAUCGCAAAUCUCCCUUUCAUAGCAAAGAUUGUUGAGAAAGUUAUUUUUUUAUCAACUCAGCAACUUCUUGAACUUAAAUUGACUUUUUGACAAAUUUCAAUCAGGUUUCCGAACUCAUCACAGUACAGUAUCUGCUCUUAUCAAAGUGCUAAAUGAUAUGAGGUUGAAUACUGACUUGGGAAAGGUGUCAAUUAUGGUCUUGUUGGACCUUUUGAUACGGUAGAUCAUAAUAUACUGCUGAACAGGUUGGAAACGUGAGUAGGACUAAAUGGAACAGUCCUUAAAUGGUUCAGCUCCUACCUGGAGGAAAUGAGUUAUUUUGUAACCAUUGGAAGUGUUCAAUCUCAUCGAAUGGCAAUGACCUAUGGGGUCCCUCAAGGGUCAGUUCUUCAACCCCUCCUGUUCAGCCUGUAUAUUCUACCCUUGGGUCAAAUUCUUCAGAACUUUAAUUUUGACUAUCAUAGCUAUGCAGAUGACACACAGUUAUAUCUAGCAGUGUCUUCAGAUGACAACAGUUCAAUUGAGGUGUUGUGUCACUGUCUAAAACAGAUAAAUAACUGGAUGAGUCAACAUUUUCUUCAAUUAAAUCAACAAAACUGAGAUAUUUUUGGGGGGGGCAAUAAAGAAAGAGGAUUGCUGUUUGUAAAUACCUUUAGUCACUCUCUUUAAAAACCAACUCCGAAACCUUGGUGUUCUGAUAGAUUCCGACCUGACUUUCAACAGUCAUAUCAAAUCAAUUACUUAAACUGCCUUCUACCAUCUGAAGAACAUAUCCAGAGUGAAGGCUUGCAUAUGUGAAGCAGACCAGGAGAAGCUCAUCCAUGCUUUUAUCUCAAGUAGACUAGACUAUUGUAAUGGUCUUCUGACUGGACUGCCUAAAAAGAGCAUUAAACAGCUGAACCUCAUUUAGAAUGCUGCAGCUCGGGUUCUGACCAGAACAAAGAGGUCAGAUCACAUUACUCCAAUCCUAAAGUCUUUACACUGGGUUCCAGUCAGCUUUAGAAUAGAUUUAAAAGUUCUGCUACUGGUCUAAAAAUCACUAAACGGUUUAGGUCCUGAAUACAUGAAUGAAAUGCUAAUGGAAUAUAAACCCAGUAGGGCUCUGAGAUCGACAGACUCAGGUCAAAUAGUGGAGCACAGAGUCCAAAGCAAACAUGGUGAAGCAGCAUUUAGCUAUUGUGCUGCACACAAAUGAAAUAAGUUGCCAACAGAAGUGACAUCAGUCCCAAGUGUGCAUGUUUUUAAGUCCAGGUUAAAAACUCUUCUUUUUUUCCCAUGCUUUUUAGAGCAUUUCCACUUUUAAAUGAUAUUUCUUGCACUGUAGGCUGCUUUAAUUGUAUUUUAUUUUUUGCCCUCUUUGUUUUAAAUGUUUAUAAGCUGUUUUUGUCUUUGUUUUUAAAUGCUUUUAAUCAUGUAAAGCACAUUGAGUUACCUUGUGUAUGAAAUGUGCUAUAUAAAUACAUUUGCUUUGCUUAAAUUGGUUGUAAAACGAUUUCCUACAAAUAAUGUAUAUUUUUUCAACUAUCAUGCCAGCGAUGUACAGUGACAGGCAGAACAAUUAAAUGCUCCUCCAGUAGGUGUCAAAAGGUACAAGCAACCUGUGUAUCCACCUGUUGCCAUUCAUACAACAGAAUUGUAGCUUUGUUUAACUAAACAGGCUCAGAUUUCACACUGUAAAUUUGUGAGUAAACAGAGAUGAUAUCGUCAUUCUUUCUGUAUACAGUGAACCCCGUUUACUGAGGAAGAUACAUUCCAGACCCACUCACAAUAUGUGAAAAUGUGUAAAAUAUAAAUGAUAUAAAAAUGAUUUUUAAUACAGUAGUUUUACCCUUCCCACAUGCUUUGACCACAUUUAAACUUGUUAAAAACAAUAAAAAUUAUGAAAACA
Phyllopteryx taeniolatus (common seadragon) is the source of this 7983-nucleotide RNA transcript. RefSeq lists it as uncharacterized. NCBI's taxonomy places the organism in Eukaryota, Metazoa, Chordata, Actinopteri, Syngnathiformes, Syngnathidae. The transcript has 10 exons. The record is from RefSeq and is a predicted model, not a curated record.